GAAUGCUGACAUAAGUAACGAUAAAGCGGGUGAAAAGCCCGCUCGCCGGAAGACCAAGGGUUCCUGUCCAACGUUAAUCGGGGCAGGGUGAGUCGACCCCUAAGGCGAGGCCGAAAGGCGUAGUCGAUGGGAAACGGGUUAAUAUUCCCGUACUUGGUGUUACUGCGAAGGGGGGACGGAGAAGGCUAUGUUGGCCGGGCGACGGUUGUCCCGGUUUAAGCGUGUAGGUGUGUGUUCCAGGUAAAUCCGGUUCACUUUAACACUGAGGCGUGACGACGAGGCACUACGGUGCUGAAGCAACAAAUGCCCUGCUUCCAGGAAAAGCCUCUAAGCAUCAGGUAACACGAAAUCGUACCCCAAACCGACACAGGUGGUCAGGUAGAGAAUACCAAGGCGCUUGAGAGAACUCGGGUGAAGGAACUAGGCAAAAUGGUGCCGUAACUUCGGGAGAAGGCACGCUGACACGUAGGUGAAGUGAUUUACUCAUGGAGCUGAAGUCAGUCGAAGAUACCAGCUGGCUGCAACUGUUUAUUAAAAACACAGCACUGUGCAAACACGAAAGUGGACGUAUACGGUGUGACGCCUGCCCGGUGCCGGAAGGUUAAUUGAUGGGGUCAGCGUAAGCGAAGCUCCUGAUCGAAGCCCCGGUAAACGGCGGCCGUAACUAUAACGGUCCUAAGGUAGCGAAAUUCCUUGUCGGGUAAGUUCCGACCUGCACGAAUGGCGUAAUGAUGGCCAGGCUGUCUCCACCCGAGACUCAGUGAAAUUGAACUCGCUGUGAAGAUGCAGUGUACCCGCGGCAAGACGGAAAGACCCCGUGAACCUUUACUAUAGCUUGACACUGAACAUUGAGCCUUGAUGUGUAGGAUAGGUGGGAGGCUUUGAAGUGUGGACGCCAGUCUGCAUGGAGCCGACCUUGAAAUACCACCCUUUAAUGUUUGAUGUUCUAACGUGGACCCGUAAUCCGGGUUGCGGACAGUGUCUGGUGGGUAGUUUGACUGGGGCGGUCUCCUCCUAAAGAGUAACGGAGGAGCACGAAGGUUGGCUAAUCCUGGUCGGACAUCAGGAGGUUAGUGCAAUGGCAUAAGCCAGCUUGACUGCGAGCGUGACGGCGCGAGCAGGUGCGAAAGCAGGUCAUAGUGAUCCGGUGGUUCUGAAUGGAAGGGCCAUCGCUCAACGGAUAAAAGGUACUCCGGGGAUAACAGGCUGAUACCGCCCAAGAGUUCAUAUCGACGGCGGUGUUUGGCACCUCGAUGUCGGCUCAUCACAUCCUGGGGCUGAAGUAGGUCCCAAGGGUAUGGCUGUUCGCCAUUUAAAGUGGUACGCGAGCUGGGUUUAGAACGUCGUGAGACAGUUCGGUCCCUAUCUGCCGUGGGCGCUGGAGAACUGAGGGGGGCUGCUCCUAGUACGAGAGGACCGGAGUGGACGCAUCACUGGUGUUCGGGUUGUCAUGCCAAUGGCACUGCCCGGUAGCUAAAUGCGGAAGAGAUAAGUGCUGAAAGCAUCUAAGCACGAAACUUGCCCCGA
RNAcentral lists this ribosomal RNA (1527 nucleotides) under Salmonella enterica. Its description in RNAcentral is "partial 23S ribosomal RNA". It matches the Rfam family "Bacterial large subunit ribosomal RNA", at positions 1292 to 2802 of the family's 2925-position model. RNAcentral also lists the same sequence under 4 other names. Lineage: Bacteria; Pseudomonadati; Pseudomonadota; Gammaproteobacteria; Enterobacterales; Enterobacteriaceae. The record is from RNAcentral.